This 465-nucleotide ribosomal RNA is filed under the name uncultured bacterium. Its description in RNAcentral is "partial 16S ribosomal RNA". It matches the Rfam family "Bacterial small subunit ribosomal RNA", at positions 28 to 507 of the family's 1533-position model. The record is from RNAcentral.
GAUGAACGCUGGCGGCGUGCUUAACACAUGCAAGUCGAACGGAAAGGCCCAAGCUUGCUUGGGUACUCGAGUGGCGAACGGGUGAGUAACACGUGGGUGAUCUGCCCUGCACUUCGUGAUAAGCCUGGGAAACUGGUUCUAAUACCUGAUAGGACCACAUUUUGGAUGGUGUGGUGGAGAGUUUUUCGGUGUGGGAUGAGCUCGCGGCCUAUCAGCUUGUUGGUGGGGUAAUGGCCUACCAAGGCGUCGACGGGUAGCCGGCCUGGGAGGGUGUACGGCCACAUUAGGCCUAAGGUACGGAGCAGACUCCUACGGGAGGCAGUAGGCGGGAAUAUUGCACAAUGGGGGCACGCGUGAUGCAGCGACCCUGGGUGGGGGAUGACGGCCUUCGGGUUGUAAACUCCUUUCGCUAGAGACGAAGCGCAAGUGACGGUACCUGGAGAAGAAGCACCGGCUAACUACGUG